This 364-nucleotide unclassified non-coding RNA is filed under the name fungal sp. RNAcentral describes it as "partial internal transcribed spacer region". The stretch from base 1 to 46 matches the Rfam family "Eukaryotic small subunit ribosomal RNA", at positions 1786 to 1831 of the family's 1831-position model. The record is from RNAcentral. Lineage: Eukaryota; Fungi.
AAGUCGUAACAAGGUUUCCGUAGGUGAACCUGCGGAAGGAUCAUUAACACGUAUCCAACGUUAAACAACCCUGUGAACUUUCAGCCUGCUCUUGCAUCCCAUGAGGAACAGCAAUCCCGGUAAAUCAUUGCCAAACAGUUUUGAUUCGGGACCUCUGUCCAAAGGAGUGUGCAAUUGAGCGGUAGAGGCAGUGGCAUGGCUUCCCCAAGUAGUCAGUCGGUUGCUGGAGGUCGAUCACCGACCGGCAGACAUGUCACAGGGUCACCACGCCCCUUAAUAACCCCACUUUUAAAUGCCCCGCCUAGUGGUAACGCGCUAGGUAAAAAAAACCGAACAACUGUUAACAAUGGAUAUCUUGGUUCUC